Molecule: small nucleolar RNA, 268 nt
Filed under: Colletotrichum chlorophyti
Lineage: Eukaryota; Fungi; Ascomycota; Sordariomycetes; Glomerellales; Glomerellaceae
Description: Fungal small nucleolar RNA U3
Rfam family: Fungal small nucleolar RNA U3
About the family: Small nucleolar RNAs (snoRNAs) are involved in the processing and modification of rRNA in the nucleolus.
Source: Rfam by way of RNAcentral
GUCGACAAUACUUCAGAGAAUNCAUUUCUAUAGUAUUCGACCUUCUCUAGGUUCCCUAAAGGAGCCACAGAUCCCACCCUGGUUGAUGAGACAUAUCCUCGACACCCUAGAGUGAAGACUUUGGGUUGCCCUCGAACCUUCCGCAAGGAAGGCGGCUUGGAUCUAAGGGUCCUUGUUUGUAUAGAGGGCGUGUGAUGAUCUCGUCCCUGCUCGCGGUCUUGCCCUUGGGCGCGCGGACAGGGCGGGUGUCGAUGGACGUCUGACAGGC